ACAAAAGGAAGCGAAGGUGCGAGCUGGAGCGGAUCUCAUAAAGUACGUCUAAGUUCGGAUUGGAGUCUGCAACUCGACUCCAUGAAGUCGGAAUCGCUAGUAAUCGUAGAUCAGAAUGCUACGGUGAAUACGUUCCCGGGCCUUGUACACACCGCCCGUCACACCAUGGGGGUGGGUUGCACCAGAAGUAGAUAGCUUAACCGCGAGGGGGGCGUUUACCACGGUGUGAUUCAUGACUGGGGUGAAGUCGUAACAAGGUAACCA
This 264-nucleotide ribosomal RNA is filed under the name uncultured Enterobacteriaceae bacterium. RNAcentral's name for it is "partial 16S ribosomal RNA". It matches the Rfam family "Bacterial small subunit ribosomal RNA", at positions 1239 to 1502 of the family's 1533-position model. The record is from RNAcentral. Lineage: Bacteria; Pseudomonadati; Pseudomonadota; Gammaproteobacteria; Enterobacterales; Enterobacteriaceae.